RNAcentral lists this unclassified non-coding RNA (233 nucleotides) under fungal sp. Its description in RNAcentral is "partial internal transcribed spacer region". The stretch from base 1 to 46 matches the Rfam family "Eukaryotic small subunit ribosomal RNA", at positions 1786 to 1831 of the family's 1831-position model. The record is from RNAcentral. Lineage: Eukaryota; Fungi.
AAGUCGUAACAAGGUCUCCGUAGGUGAACCUGCGGAGGGAUCAUUAACAAAGCAAGGUGUUCAGGAAAGAGGCGACUGCGUAGCAGGAGCGUCUUUUCUGAAUUCCCAAAAUCAUGUUGCCACCGAUGGUUGGAUUUCAAUUGUUGGUGGCACACAUUUAUAUCUACAUUUCAACAACAACCACUACAACGAUAAACAAACAACAACUUUUAACAAUGGAUCUCUUGGCUCUU